Long non-coding RNA from Lutra lutra (Eurasian river otter), 496 nucleotides. RefSeq lists it as uncharacterized. The record is from RefSeq and is a predicted model, not a curated record. NCBI's taxonomy places the organism in Eukaryota, Metazoa, Chordata, Mammalia, Carnivora, Mustelidae. The transcript is spliced from 3 exons.
CCCCGUCCGCACGCGGGAAGCGGGUUCGAGCCUCCCGCCGGGUGGAAGCCGUGCGGGGCUCAGGGACCUGUGGGCUUACCGAGAUUAAGGACUCCGAUCAGGCCUGCAGUCCUGAUGGGGAAACUAAGGCUCAGAGGCAAAAUUCUUUGCCAGAGGAUGGGGAGCUCCAAGUUUGAAUCCAAGCAGGGUGUUGUGGGCUCCCAUGCCUCUCUCAGCCAGGUGCAUGCACCAGCCAUCCAGGCGUGGUCCUACCUGGGGGAACUGGAGCAGAGAUGCUGUACCAGGCUCCAUCCCGGACUGCCAGUCUAUCUGAGGGCUGGCAGAAAGUUUCCAGAAGCCUGUUAUCACUCCACUCUGGUUCCCCAGGACAUCACCAAGCUGCCCACUGGACCCCUAAUGGGUGGAGAACAGAGCAGGCAUCAGCACUAGAGCAGGGUGGGGUGCACAUGUGCGUCUCCCGACCCCCUCACCUCCACUGGGAAGUGACCAUCUGUCU